RNAcentral lists this ribosomal RNA (578 nucleotides) under Scyllarus depressus. RNAcentral's name for it is "partial 16S ribosomal RNA". It matches the Rfam family "Bacterial large subunit ribosomal RNA", at positions 1796 to 2639 of the family's 2925-position model. The record is from RNAcentral. Lineage: Eukaryota; Metazoa; Arthropoda; Malacostraca; Decapoda; Scyllaridae.
UCGCCUGUUUAUUCAAAAACAUGUCUUUAUGGGUGUUUAUGUAAAGUCUAGCCUGCCCAGUGAUAUAAAGUUUAACGGCCGCGGUAUAUUGACCGUGCGAAGGUAGCAUAAUAAUUAGUCUUUUAAUUGAAGACUGGAAUGAAAGGUUGAACAAAAAGUUAGCUGUCUCUAAAUUAAAUUUUGAAUUUAACAUUUAAGUGAAAAGGCUUAAAUAUUUUAAAGGGACGAUAAGACCCUAUAAAUCUUUAUAUUUGAUUUUAUAGAGCAAAAUAUUAAAAUAAUUUUUGUUCAAUAAGUUCGAGUAUUUUGUUGGGGCGACAAGAGUAUAAAAUGUAACUGCUCUAAAAUAAUAGUUAGUUGAUAUUUAGUUAAGUGAUCCUUUAAUAAAGAUGUUAGUUUAAGUUACUUUAGGGAUAACAGCGUAAUUUUUUUUGAGAGUUCAUAUCGAAAAAAAAGUUUGCGACCUCGAUGUUGAAUUAAAGAUCCUUUACGGUGCAGAAGUUGUAGAAGGAGGUCUGUUCGACCUUUAAAUCUUUACAUGAUUUGAGUUCAGACCGGCGUGAGCCAGGUUGGUUUCU